RNAcentral lists this ribosomal RNA (411 nucleotides) under uncultured microorganism. RNAcentral describes it as "bacterial SSU rRNA". It matches the Rfam family "Archaeal small subunit ribosomal RNA", at positions 330 to 745 of the family's 1478-position model. The record is from RNAcentral.
GCGCAGCAGGCGAGAAUACUUUACAAUGUGCGAAAGCACGAUAAGGGAACUCUGAGUGCCUCCUAAGGAGGCUGUUCAGGUGUCUAAAAGCACCUGGAGUAAGGGCUGGGUAAGACCGGUGCCAGCCGCCGCGGUAACACCGGCAGCCCAGGUGGUAGCCACUUUUAUUGGGUCUAAAGCGUCCGUAGCCGGUUGAGUAAGUUCCUUGGGAAAUUUUGGCUGCUCAACAGUCAAGCUUCCAGGGAAUACUGCUCGACUUGGGGACUGGGAGAGGUCAGAGGUACUCCAGGGGUAGGGUGGAAAUCCAUUAAUUCCCUGGGGGACCACCGGUAGCGAAGGCGUCUGACCAGACCAGGUCCGACGGUGAGGGACGAAGGCUAGGGUCGCGAACCGGAUUAGAUACCGCGUAGU